Arabidopsis thaliana (thale cress) is the source of this 316-nucleotide long non-coding RNA. RefSeq annotates it as other RNA. Lineage: Eukaryota; Viridiplantae; Streptophyta; Magnoliopsida; Brassicales; Brassicaceae. The record is from RefSeq. The transcript has a single exon.
UCCUUCCAGAAAUGCCUUCACAAUCCAACGAUUACACUUCAUAUCGAUCGGAAAUUGAAAAAAAAACAAUUAGGAAAAAGCAAAACACUUCAUUUUAAAUUCGACAUUAACAUAUUUGUGAAAUUGUUUCAAACUCUUACCUCCACACAAAAGUUGUCGUUUCGUGCUGCUAACUCUUUGUCCUCCAUCGAAUCUUUGCUCCGCCUUGAAUUUGGACCAACCUUCCUGUGAGACAUCCUUAGGAUCUCUUUUGCUUCACAAACUUAAUAAGACCAUUUAGAUUUAAGAAAAAUAGACAAUAAAUUAGAUUAACUAC